This 253-nucleotide ribosomal RNA is filed under the name uncultured prokaryote. Its description in RNAcentral is "partial 16S ribosomal RNA". It matches the Rfam family "Bacterial small subunit ribosomal RNA", at positions 524 to 776 of the family's 1533-position model. The record is from RNAcentral.
UACAGAGGUCUCAAGCGUUGUUCGGAUUCAUUGGGCGUAAAGGGUGUGUAGGUGGCGCGCUAAGUCGGGUGUGAAAUUUCGGAGCUUAACUCCGAAACUGCAUUCGAUACUGGCGUGCUUGAGGACUGGAGAGGAGACUGGAAUUUACGGUGUAGCAGUGAAAUGCGUAGAUAUUGGGAGGAACACCAGUGGCGAAGGCGGCUCACUGGACCGGUACUGACGCUGAUGCGCGAAAGCGUGGGGAGCAAACGGG